GGCUACAAUGGUCAGGACAAUGGGUAUCGACACCGAGAGGUGGAGGCAAUCUCCUAAACCUGUCCUUAGUUCGGAUUGUGGGCUGCAACUCGCCCACAUGAAGCUGGAAUCCGUAGUAAUCGCGUUUCAAAAUAGCGCGGUGAAUAUGUCCCUGCUCCUU
Molecule: ribosomal RNA, 160 nt
Filed under: uncultured Methanolinea sp.
Lineage: Archaea; Methanobacteriati; Methanobacteriota; Methanomicrobia; Methanomicrobiales; Methanoregulaceae
Description: partial 16S ribosomal RNA
Rfam family: Archaeal small subunit ribosomal RNA
Source: RNAcentral